CCUGAUGGCGACCGGCGACACGGGUGAGUAACGCGUAAUCCAACUUCCCCCUGCUCAGGGAUAGCCCGGUGAAAACCGGAUUAAGACCUGAUAGUUUCACUAGAUGGCAUCUGACGGUGAAUAAAGGUUUCGGCAAGGGAUGGGGAUGCGUCUGAUUAGCUUGUUGGCGGGUAACGGCCCACCAAGGCGACGAUCAGUAGGGGUUCUGAGAGGAAGGUCCCCCACAUUGGAACCGAGACACGGUCCAAACUCCUACGGGAGGCAGCAGUGAGGAAUAUUGGUCAAUGGGCGGAAGCCUGAACCAGCCAAGUAGCGUGCCAGGAAGACGGCCCUAUGGGUUGUAAACUGCUUUUGUGCGGGAAUAAAGUCAGGGACGCGUCCCUGUUUGCAUGUACCGCAAGAAUAAGGACCGGCUAAUUCCGUGCCAGCAGCCGC
RNAcentral lists this ribosomal RNA (435 nucleotides) under uncultured bacterium. RNAcentral's name for it is "bacterial SSU rRNA". It matches the Rfam family "Bacterial small subunit ribosomal RNA", at positions 84 to 518 of the family's 1533-position model. The record is from RNAcentral.